This 563-nucleotide long non-coding RNA is filed under the name Dasypus novemcinctus (nine-banded armadillo). RNAcentral's name for it is "lncRNA (ENSDNOG00000052510.1)". The record is from RNAcentral. Lineage: Eukaryota; Metazoa; Chordata; Mammalia; Cingulata; Dasypodidae.
UAGGGUUUGAGGUUUUGUUUGUUUUGUUUUAAAAAAGAAAACACAUACAUCUAUAUUUGGCUUUGAAAUUGAUGUUUAUUAUUGAAGUGAAGCAGAUUUUCUGUUCUUCUUUCUCCUUUAUUCUGAAAAGCCAACUAAUAGUAAAAAGGGGCUGUAUUGUCUUCUUUUAGCUCUGGCUCCUCUUUUUCCCUACUUUACUUUUCUAGGAAGCCUUUCCAGCUCACCUCCCCUCUUCACCACCUAGUUUCAUAGCACUAUCAGAGUACUUAUUACUCCACCCCAUACUCAAUGCCUCAACUGUAUAGCUCCCCCAUUUAACUACAAGCAAUUCGAAGGAAGGGAUUGUAUGUUUUUCAACACUGCGGUCUCAGCAUCUGAUAGUGCUGGCAAAAGUGAAUGAAUGAGUGAAUAUCACAGCUUUCAUUUGGGUUUCAUCUUUGCUUCCAUCACUAAACAUAGUCAAGAACCUAGACAAAUUCCAGUUACAUGUUUGGUGAGCCAGCCAGGAGCUUAUUGGUAAGUGAAACAAUGGCCUACAGCCUGCUUAAUGCCUUCCUUUGGUU